UUCCCGUGGUACUAUGGAUCACUGUCACCACCUUAUUAGCUUUCUAAGCCACAUGCUUAUGGUCCUGCCCAUUGUCCAUUCUAACAAAUGGUGCACACCUGUAAUGUACCUUUUCUGAAUAAAGAAUGGCAAACUCUCUCAGACAUACUCACAUACAAAAGUUUUUCCAAUAGAUACAUCACAAACAGCUCUUAGACCAACUGAGGCUUGGUACUUAAAUUUAGAGAUACUUGCAGACUUCCACAGCAGCACAAUUUUGUUUUAUUUUUUCAGUGUAGCCUGUAGCCCUUUCAGUGUAGCACUCUGACAUCUACUACAGUGCUUUAUUGUUACGUGACAAUUGGUAAAUUAGCCUAACGUUACUUCCGCUGUUACGCUAGCUUCUCAACAGGUGUGCGAGCUGUUAACUGACUAUCGCUGGCUAACGUAGCUCCGGUAACUGUAUGCAACACUCCCGAAGUCCCCGCCCGCUGCGCGCACGCUUCGGACUAUGAACUAGCUAAAUCCCUGUGAUAAGCAGAUAUACCGCAGACGACAAAAACAAACUUGGCGUCAACUGAAGAUACCCCCCCCCCCCUUUUGACGGAGGCCGGCCGCCUACUUCUCCCCUGCCGCAGCCCUCACACAAUGUUUGGUCCUGGGACAGUCCUUCCAUUGAACGCACCGACCUCCCGACCUGCCAUUCCCACCUGCCUUGCUUCCCUCCAGUACAGUCACCUGGCUUUCCCUGCCCAUCUGUAGAUGUGGACUAUAUAUACCUGCUCUCUGCUCACAGUCAUUGUCGGUUCUCCUCGUUGCUAUUCCUGGUCUCAUAGCUGAAAAAGGAUGGCAAUGAGAGACAGUGAGAGUGAGAAUUAAAUGGGAAGAAUGAAAAGAGAAGGGGAAAAAAGGAACCAGGAGGAGAACGAAGGGGGAGUGAGGGAAGAGCAAAUAAAGUGGACAAGAGAGGAGAGACGAUGACUCGGGGAGGUGGAGCUGAAAAGAGAUGAAGAGAGAUGCGGAAAAGGAUCAGACAAGGAUGCAGGAUCUUAGAAUGGGAGGAGGGAAUCGCAGUUCUGUAAACUCAAACGAGACAACUGGGUAGGCCCUAGAGAUCUGUUAAUGUGAUGCAACGCCUUCUCUUCUUUUCUCUUCUUUUCUCUCUAUUUGUCUUCUUCUAUGUAUCUGGAGCUUUAGCACACUGUUGGUGAAGUGUCCUGCUCUAAAUUUAGU
This is a long non-coding RNA of Lates calcarifer (barramundi perch), 1212 nucleotides long. RefSeq lists it as uncharacterized. The record is from RefSeq and is a predicted model, not a curated record. NCBI's taxonomy places the organism in Eukaryota, Metazoa, Chordata, Actinopteri, Centropomidae. The transcript is spliced from 3 exons.